GUAUCUGAGGUUUUUCUCACUUCUCCCCCUUAUAUUCUUCUUCUUCUUCUUCUUCUUUUCUUGAGUAGCCUCCGUGCUAUAUUUGAGUGUCAGUCAAUCGACUGGCAUACUGAGGGUGUAAUUCUAGAAUGGUUUUCUACAGUGCAGUAAAACUCCGAUACAGUGAAAGAAGUUGCUCAUGUUCUUGCAAAUGAAGACACAUCUUAUCUUUGUUUCUAUAUCUUAAUAGAAAUACCACAUUGUAUUGAACACAUUAUUAUUAAUGACAUGUGAUAAGCGCC
RNAcentral lists this long non-coding RNA (281 nucleotides) under Cicer arietinum (chickpea). RNAcentral's name for it is "long non-coding RNA (CARI_LNC000646)". The record is from RNAcentral. Lineage: Eukaryota; Viridiplantae; Streptophyta; Magnoliopsida; Fabales; Fabaceae.